GCGGGGGUGCCAGAGUCCGGUCAAAUGGGCUAGCUUGAGGGGCUAGUGGCUUAGUGCCUGCCAGGGUUCGAAUCCCUGCUCCCGCA
This 86-nucleotide transfer RNA is filed under the name Nanobdellota archaeon. RNAcentral describes it as "tRNA-Leu". It matches the Rfam family "tRNA". From Rfam's summary of the family: Transfer RNA (tRNA) molecules are approximately 80 nucleotides in length. Their secondary structure includes four short double-helical elements and three loops (D, anti-codon, and T loops). The record is from RNAcentral. Lineage: Archaea; Nanobdellati; Nanobdellota.